UUCGGGGGACAGGGUGACAGGUGGUGCAUGGUUGUCGUCAGCUCGUGUCGUGAGAUGUUGGGUUAAGUCCCGUAACGAGCGCAACCCUUGUCCUUAGUUACCAGCACGUUAAGGUGGGCACUCUAAGGAGACUGCCGGUGACAAACCGGAGGAAGGUGGGGAUGACGUCAAGUCAUCAUGGCCCUUACGGCCUGGGCUACACACGUGCUACAAUGGUCGGUACAAAGGGUUGCCAAGCCGCGAGGUGGAGCUAAUCCCAUAAAACCGAUCGUAGUCCGGAUCGCAGUCUGCAACUCGACUGCGUGAAGUCGGAAUCGCUAGUAAUCGUGAAUCAGAAUGUCACGGUGAAUACGUUCCCGGGCCUU
Molecule: ribosomal RNA, 365 nt
Filed under: uncultured Pseudomonas sp.
Lineage: Bacteria; Pseudomonadati; Pseudomonadota; Gammaproteobacteria; Pseudomonadales; Pseudomonadaceae
Description: bacterial SSU rRNA
Rfam family: Bacterial small subunit ribosomal RNA
Source: RNAcentral